AUUGAACGCUGGCGGCAUGCCUUACACAUGCAAGUCGAACGGCAGCACGGGAGCAAUCCUGGUGGCGAGUGGCGAACGGGUGAGUAAUAUAUCGGAACGUGCCCAGUCGUGGGGGAUAACGUAGCGAAAGCUACGCUAAUACCGCAUACUAUCUAUGGAUGAAAGCGGGGGAUCGCAAGACCUCGCGCGAUUGGAGCGGCCGAUAUCAGAUUAGGUAGUUGGUGAGGUAAAGGCUCACCAAGCCGACGAUCUGUAGCUGGUCUGAGAGGACGACCAGCCACACUGGGACUGAGACACGGCCCAGACUCCUACGGGAGGCAGCAGUGGGGAAUUUUGGACAAUGGGCGCAAGCCUGAUCCAGCAAUGCCGCGUGCAGGAUGAAGGCCUUCGGUUGGUAACGUAGUCGUUUGUUACGGUAACGGAAACGGUAGGUAG
This 435-nucleotide ribosomal RNA is filed under the name uncultured bacterium. Its description in RNAcentral is "bacterial SSU rRNA". It matches the Rfam family "Bacterial small subunit ribosomal RNA", at positions 30 to 464 of the family's 1533-position model. The record is from RNAcentral.